This 212-nucleotide long non-coding RNA is filed under the name Elaeis guineensis (African oil palm). RNAcentral's name for it is "long non-coding RNA (EGUI_LNC063371)". The record is from RNAcentral. Lineage: Eukaryota; Viridiplantae; Streptophyta; Magnoliopsida; Arecales; Arecaceae.
CGCGGAGGUCAUGGAUCACCUAGUGGAUGCCUUUCAGAGAGGCAUCGAUGGACAUCUGGCAGGAGAAGAAGAAGAAGAUGUUGAAGAAGAUGACUGGAGACAGUCCCGUUGAGUACUCCUUUAAGAACAAGAGUCCUGCGAAGACACAGCCCUUCCUCUAGCGCCAAUUCUGUUGGUGUAGAAUUCCACCGAUGCCGGAGAAGCUGAAGUCG